RNAcentral lists this long non-coding RNA (1103 nucleotides) under Homo sapiens (human). Its description in RNAcentral is "non-protein coding CASC15:58". The record is from RNAcentral. Lineage: Eukaryota; Metazoa; Chordata; Mammalia; Primates; Hominidae.
CUUUUGCGUCAGUGAGAAUCAAAUGAUUCAACAGUGAAAAGCAAACUCUUGGACUGGAAUAGCAAGAUGACCCAUCUCUAAACAAAGCAAACUGACUAGGAUUCUCUCAUGCUUAACAUGCAUCUUACUGGUUCUUUAUGAAGAGCUUUCUCUUGUUCUGGAGACCAGAAGGCCAAAAUCAAAAGUAUGGGCAGGCUUGAUUUCUUUAGAAGACUCCAGCGGAGAACUGUGUCUCCUUGCUUCUGAUUCUACAUCUCCAUCCAUGGGCCACUGUUUCAGCAACCUCAGCCAGUGCAACACAACCUCAGCCAAGAAGAGUAUGCAGAGAAAGGAGUCCCCUACCUGCCACAAAACUGUUGUCUGAAAACUGUCUCAUAUUGUCUCAAGUUGUCAUUCAUUGUGAAUUAGACCUGUUUAACAUGUAAUCUGCAACAUGCUUCACUGUCUAAUUUUCCAGAGCCCCUCAUAUAAGGAACUGUAUUAUUGGUAUAAUCAUCAUGGUGAAGAAGUUGGUAUGUGGGGGAGAGAUGACAGAAACAGAGAGUAAGUCAGAGCUGGCUGCCUGACAGAUAAAAAGGAAAUGACCAAAAAAAAAAAAAAAGACACAGAAGAAUACUUUGUUGUCCACACAGAAAAGGGAAGUGUAGGUAAGACAGCAGUAGACUAAGAUUCUUAAGACUCAAGUUCUAGUCUUAUUUAUUAGCUAUGGGAGGCCUUGAGGGAGUUCUAGAAUUAAGUGAUCUCUCUUUAUAAAAUAGGAACAGUAAUAACUUCCUGGCUAACUCCCUGGCUGUCUCACAAUGCUGUAGUAGUAAGAAAUAAUUUUAUAAUUAAAGACUAUUUUAGGGCUGAUUACAUUUUUGGGCAGUGGCUCAUACAUGUAAUUUCAACAUUUUGGGAGGCCAAGGUGGGCGGAUUGCUUGAGCCCAGGAAUUCAAGACCAGGCUGGGCAACACAGACCUUGUCACUACAAAAGAAAAAAACAUUAGCUAGGCGUGGUGAUGUAUGCCUGUGGUCCCAGCUACUCAGGAAGCUGAGACAGGAGGAUCACCUGAGCCUGGGAGGUCGAGGCUACAGUGAGCCAUGAUCACACUACUGCACUC